UUUUGAUGGGCGUCGACCGGCGCACGGGUGAGUAACGCGUAUCCAACCUGCCCAUCACUUGGGGAUAACGCAUCGAAAGAUGUGCUAAUACCGCGUAAGACCACAGCUUCACAUGGAGCAGAGGUCAAAGGAGCAAUCCGGAUAAAGAUGGGCUCGCGUCCGAUUAGCUAGUUGGUGAGAUAACAGCCCACCAAGGCGACGAUCGGUAGCCGACCUGAGAGGGUGAUCGGCCACAUUGGAACUGAGAAACGGUCCAGACUCC
This 262-nucleotide ribosomal RNA is filed under the name uncultured bacterium. RNAcentral describes it as "partial 16S ribosomal RNA". It matches the Rfam family "Bacterial small subunit ribosomal RNA", at positions 78 to 339 of the family's 1533-position model. The record is from RNAcentral.